GUGGGGGAUAACGUAGCGAAAGUUACGCUAAUACCGCAUAAGCCCUGAGGGGGAAAGGUGGGGGACCGGCAAGGCCUCACGCGAAUGGAGCGGCCGAUGUCAGAUUAGCUAGUUGGUGGGGUAAAGGCCCACCAAGGCGACGAUCUGUAGCGGGUCUGAGAGGAUGAUCCGCCACACUGGGACUGAGACACGGCCCAGACUCCUACGGGAGGCAGCAGUGGGGAAUUUUGGACAAUGGGCGCAAGCCUGAUCCAGCCAUGCCGCGUGCGGGACGAAGGCCUUCGGUUGUAAACCGCUUUCAGCCGGAAAGAAAUACGCCGUUUUUAAUACUAGACGGUGGAUGACGGUACCGGAAGAAGAAGCACCGGCUAACUACGUG
Molecule: ribosomal RNA, 379 nt
Filed under: uncultured bacterium
Lineage: Bacteria
Description: bacterial SSU rRNA
Rfam family: Bacterial small subunit ribosomal RNA
Source: RNAcentral